GCCCGGUUGGCUCAGUCGGUAGAGCGUGUGACUCUUACUUUGUGCCUGGCCACAGUCAGUCACAGAUAAGUUAUCUCAAGGUCGCGAGUUCGAGCCUCGCAUUGGGCU
Peziza echinospora is the source of this 108-nucleotide non-coding RNA. Lineage: Eukaryota; Fungi; Ascomycota; Pezizomycetes; Pezizales; Pezizaceae. The record is from the annotation of a GenBank genome assembly.